Equus caballus (horse) is the source of this 3406-nucleotide long non-coding RNA. NCBI's taxonomy places the organism in Eukaryota, Metazoa, Chordata, Mammalia, Perissodactyla, Equidae. The record is from Ensembl.
GGCGAGGGUGAAGUCCUUAUGUCGGGCAGCUCAUUGGAAUGUCUCAGUGCUCUCUGCGAUUCCCACGGCCGUGGCCCAAAAGCGACCUCCAGGCAGAUGGGAAAAUCCGCCUUUUUGUAGGAACAUGAAAAAGUCUUUGAAGACUGCUCGUCUCUGCAUCCUGUUUGGAAAUGUAGGAGGGCCUGAGCAAAUGGAAAGCGCCCGUUCCGUUAGGGUAUCAGGUCUGGAGUAGAGAAGGGUGGAAUUUGGGCCUUCCUUGGAAAGUUCACAAGAAUGAAACCUGUUUAGAGAACAGUUCCUGUGGAGGAUGGCUAAUGCCUGGAGUGUGUUACCAAAAGUCUCACUUUUCAGAGAUUUUUAUAGAGAAAAUAACCUCAUUGUUUCAGGAGACCGAUCAUGUGUUGUUUUCUUAUGGGGCGUUUACAUCAUUUGUUUAAUCCAGGAGCCCCAGCCCUCAGCCACGGCAGACAUUUCUGAUCGAUCCACAGACUGGAGAUUUAGCCUCAGAACCUUUCUUAACACAGCUCUCCAUUUCCAAUCAGUAAACACGAGUGGAAACCCUCCUGCCGACUCUGGACUCCACGAUCCCACGUUCAUCACCAUUUGCGGAGAAACGCUUUAAACAUCACAGUAUCCUCUAACAACAGCAACACGUACCUGAGGAACGCCAUACCGCGGAUGCAGCCUCACGCGGUCCCGUGUCGCCGCUCUACCCACAAGAAAACAGACGCCUGAGUCGGCCAGGGUCCCUCAGCCAGUGAGAGGUUCUGGGAUGCGGACCUGGGGUCCCCACCUUCCUAGUCUGUGAUCUUGUCAUUGGAGGACGUUCUCUAGACCAUAUUCCACUUGUCUUACAAUUAUGCCAAAGACUGGAACAUCAGCUUCAGAGAUGUUUGGGACCAAGGAUUCUUGCUCAAUACACCUUUGUGCUCUACAACCUUCCUUGUGGUGUCCAGUGCAGGAAAGGCAGAAAACUUCCCUUGGGCUCUGCUGUGUGACUUGUUUGAGUAACUCUACCUCUCUGAGCCUCAGUUUCCUCAUCUGUAGAAUGGGGAGACUAAUGGAACUUUGCCUGCCUUCCAGGAGUACACUGAGGGUCACCUGACAUAGUCGAUUUGAACGUGCUUUGCAAACUGUGAAGUGUUCUGGAUGCUUGUAAGUCACGUGUGAGCAAGCUGUGGGGAAUCGUCUCUCCAUCAGACGCGUGUGUUUGAUGUUGGCUUUUAAUCUCAAACGGCCAAGAGAGGGGAGCCUUGAAUGCCAAUGGGAUUUGAAACUCCUUCAAGGGUUCCGUAUACUUUCUAAGUUCCAGGUUGGCCGAGAUUAUGCAACGGCUGUGAUGAACCCUCCUCCUUUCUGGACUCAUCAAGGGCUCAUCACUUGUCCCAUAGGCUGGGCAAAAUCUUGAAGUGACACCAUGUUGGGGGUUGCGGGAAAGACGCCUUACAAGUGACAGAAUCUAAUCCUUCGUUCCCACGAGGAAUAAUGAUAAUGGUACCAGCUUCUGCUUGCCGAGUCCCAUCGAUGUACUAGUCGCUCUACAUGUGAUGACUGCAGAGUAGGCACCUGGUGCCCACUUUACAGAUGGGGAACUUGUGGCUUGGACAGCUCAAUAAGAAGGAAACUUCUCUACGUCACAAAAUUUGGAGGUGGCAGAAUUGAGAGUGGGAUCCAUGCUCUUUCACCCAAAGUCCAUGUUCCCUUUAGGACGCCAUGCUGGUUUUUGCUUUCCGCCAGACAACCAAUCAGCUCACCAAUCAACAAAUGAACAACCAUCCACCCAACCAAUAAAAACCAACCAAUAAUUAAUCAAUCAACUAACCAUCCAUCCAUCCAACCAACCAACCAACCAGCUAAUGAACAACCAUUCACAACUAAUCAAUAAUUAGUGAACCAACCAACCAACUGGUUAACAACCAGCCACCAUCCAAGCAACAACAUGCGUUGCUACCAGUCGUGUGCUCAGCACUGAGCUUUGGGACGGAGAGAACCCCCUGUCCCAUCCUCAGGGAACUGCCGGCCUGUGGGAAAGCAAGGACCACGGUCCUGCUCACAGCACCGGCCCCAAUUGUCUGUUCCGCAUCUGCCUCCUCAGCUGGGUGGGACUUCCCCAAGGCGAGGGUGACACCUUGGUCGUCCUUGUAGAGUUAGAGCCCAGAACAGGAGCAGCACAUGCAUGCACACAUUCACACAUGCAUGCACACACACACAACAUGGAAUAACUCAGAACACUAUGGAAUGAAUGAAGGAGUCUUAUCAGAAGUGGCUCGGAGGGUCAGAUCCAUCUCAGAGGGUUUGUGCGAAAGGAAGGUUAGACGAUGCUCUGGUCUGGAGAAUUCCCUGCUGGGUGGAGCAAAACAAAUACUUCCAGGGACGCUGCCUUCUGCUGAAGAGCUCUCACUGGGCCCUGUCCUGGACGGGGAGCACGCCGUGGCGGAAAGAGCCCCAGAUUGGGGUCAGGGGUCUGAGCCCAGCUGAGCCACUAACACCUUGGGUGGCCUUGGACGCCUAGCCUCAGUCACCCCCCCUCCACCGCCGCUCCCACAUUUUAUGGACGAGGCCACUGAGGCCCCAAGACCUGAGUUCGCCCCUCUCCAAGGCCCCUUCCAGCUCUGGCAUUUCCAGCCUUUUCUGGCUGCUCAUUAACGGAGUAUUUUCGUUUUCCAAUCCGCAUUCCAGCCUCCUCCCGCGAGCCUCGACCCCUCUGGCAGGGGAGCGGGCACUGUGCGCAGUUCUCUGGAACGCUCCGGGGACCCUCGCCCGUCUCCCACCGGAGCGGCCAGAGGCUAACUGGCAGGCACGGUCGCCUCCCGUACGGGCCCCGCAGACGUGCGCUCGGGGCCGGGGAGCCGGCGCUGCCGGGAAGCACGCGCUCCAUCUCUCUGUCUCUGUUACAGGCCCCGCGGUUCACCGUCUGCUCGGAAAUUGGGAUAAAACAGAAGACUUCAAAGAAAUUCCAUACUGGCAGCAGCCUGGCUGGAGCGAGGACCACAGAUGCCUCCCGUCCAGCCCUCCGAGGUCCGAGCCUACUCUCUCUGCGCUGGGGGGCGUUUGGGGGCCGAGCCGAGAAGCGGGGUGCCAGCUGGCCGCUCCUACUGCGAGCUCUCGCCAACGCUCACUCCCUCGGGCAAGAAGUGCUGAGAAAAGAGAGAGAGGAAGAAGACGACGGGAGGAGGUUGUUGCAAGUCAGUCUCCUCCAGCAGUUGGAGCUGCUGCCUCAGCCCCCGCAGCGUGCAGCCUCAGACUAGAAACAGGGCCGGUUGGAAUCACGGUGUCUCGUGUGUGUUAAAGACCCUGGCUUUCAAAAAAGACGAAUGCAAAGCAUCUCACUCAUUAUUUCUAUUGAUUACAUAAAGAAAUAAUAUUUUGGGUAUAUUGGUCAAAUAAAUACAUUUGUUUCUUUUUA